CCCGGGCCUUGUACACACCGCCCGUCACACCAUGGGAGUUGGUUUUACCCGAAGACGGUGCGCUAACCGCAAGGAAGCAGCCGGCCACGGUAGGGUCAGCGACUGGGGUG
RNAcentral lists this ribosomal RNA (110 nucleotides) under uncultured bacterium. Its description in RNAcentral is "partial 16S ribosomal RNA". It matches the Rfam family "Bacterial small subunit ribosomal RNA", at positions 1373 to 1482 of the family's 1533-position model. The record is from RNAcentral.